This 301-nucleotide ribosomal RNA is filed under the name uncultured bacterium. RNAcentral's name for it is "partial 16S ribosomal RNA". It matches the Rfam family "Bacterial small subunit ribosomal RNA", at positions 509 to 807 of the family's 1533-position model. The record is from RNAcentral.
CAGCAGCCGCGGUAACACGUAGGUGGCAAGCGUUGUCCGGAAUUAUUGGGCGUAAAGGGCUCGCAGGCGGUUUCUUAAGUCUGAUGUGAAAGCCCCCGGCUCAACCGGGGAGGGUCAUUGGAAACUGGGAAACUUGAGUGCAGAAGAGGAGAGUGGAAUUCCACGUGUAGCGGUGAAAUGCGUAGAGAUGUGGAGGAACACCAGUGGCGGAGGCGACUCUCUGGUCUGUAACUGACGCUGAGGAGCGAAAGCGUGGGGAGCGAACAGGAUUAGAUACCCCAGUAGUCCAUGUCUCUUAUAC